This 497-nucleotide ribosomal RNA is filed under the name uncultured bacterium. Its description in RNAcentral is "partial 16S ribosomal RNA". It matches the Rfam family "Bacterial small subunit ribosomal RNA", at positions 28 to 507 of the family's 1533-position model. The record is from RNAcentral.
GAUGAACGCUGGCGGCGUGCCUAAUACAUGCAAGUCGAGCGAACAGACGAGGAGCUUGCUCCGCUGACGUUAGCGGCGGACGGGUGAGUAACACGUGGAUAACCUACCUAUAAGACUGGGAUAACUUCGGGAAACCGGAGCUAAUACCGGAUAAUAUAUUGAUCCGCAUGGUUCAAUAGUGAAAGACGGUUUUGCUGUCACUUAUAGAUGGAUCCGCGCCGCAUUAGCUAGUUGGUAAGGUAACGGCCUACCAAGGCGACGAUGCGUAGCCGACGGGAGAGGGUGAUCGGCCACACUGGAACUGAGACACGGUCCAGACUCCUACGGGAGGCAGCAGUAGGGAAUCUUCCGCAAUGGGCGAAAGCCUGACGGAGCAACGCCGCGUGAGUGAUGAAGGUCUUCGGAUCGUAAAACUCUGUUAUUAGGGAAGAACAAAUGUGUAAGUAACUAUGCACGUCUUGACGGUACCUAAUCAGAAAGCAACGGCUAACUACGUG